This 75-nucleotide transfer RNA is filed under the name Actinopolymorpha rutila. RNAcentral describes it as "tRNA-Gly". The record is from RNAcentral. Lineage: Bacteria; Bacillati; Actinomycetota; Actinomycetes; Propionibacteriales; Actinopolymorphaceae.
GUUGCUCUGCCUGAGCGCCCGGCCACUACGCUUCCCAAGCUGGCAGCGCGGGUUCGAUACCCGCCACCCGCUCCA